AGAGUUUGAUCCUGGCUCAGGAUGAACGCUGGCGGCGUGCCUAACACAUGCAAGUCGAGCGGGAUUGUGGAGUAGCUUGCUACGAAGCAAUCUAGCGGCGGACGGGUGAGUAACGCGUGGGCAACCUGCCCUAUACAGGGGGAUAACACACCGAAAGGUGUGCUAAUACCCCAUAACACCGAUGCUUCGCAUGGAGAGUCGGUCAAAGAUUUAUCGGUAUAGGAUGGGCCCGCGUCUGAUUAGCUAGUUGGUGAGGUAAAGGCUCACCAAGGCGACGAUCAGUAGCCGACCUGAGAGGGUGAUCGGCCACACUGGAACUGAGACACGGUCCAGACUCCUACGGGAGGCAGCAGUGGGGAAUAUUGCACAAUGGGGGAAACCCUGAUGCAGCAACGCCGCGUGAGCGAUGAAGGCCUUCGGGUCGUAAAGCUCUGUCCUAAGGGAAGAAGAAUGACGGUACCUUAGGAGGAAGCCCCGGCUAACUACGUGCCAGCAGCCGCGGUAAUACGUAGGGGGCAAGCGUUAUCCGGAAUCACUGGGCGUAAAGGGUGCGUAGGCGGCCGAUAAAGUCUGGGGUGAAAGGCUACGGCUUAACCGUAGUAAGCCUUGGAAACUUAUUGGCUUGAGUGCAGGAGAGGUAAGUGGAAUUCCUAGUGUAGCGGUGAAAUGCGUAGAUAUUAGGAGGAACACCAGUGGCGAANGCGACUUACUGGACUGUAACUGACGCUGAGGCACGAAAGCGUGGGGAGCGAACA
RNAcentral lists this ribosomal RNA (755 nucleotides) under bacterium enrichment culture clone Ean9. RNAcentral describes it as "bacterial SSU rRNA". It matches the Rfam family "Bacterial small subunit ribosomal RNA", at positions 8 to 774 of the family's 1533-position model. The record is from RNAcentral.